ACAGGGAUUGCCCUAGUAACGGCGAGUGAAGCGGCAAUAGCUCAAAUUUGAAAUCUGGCUCUUUUAGGGUCCGAGUUGUAAUUUGCAGAGGGCGCUUUGGCGUUGGCAGCGGUCCAAGUUCUUUGGAACAGGACGUCACAGAGGGUGAGAAUCCCGUACGUGGUCGCUAUCCUUCGCCGUGUAAAGCCCCUUCGACGAGUCGAGUUGUUUGGGAAUGCAGCUCUAAAUGGGAGGUAAAUUUCUUCUAAAGCUAAAUACUGGCCAGAGACCGAUAGCGCACAAGUAGAGUGAUCGAAAGAUGAAAAGCACUUUGGAAAGAGAGUCAAAUAGCACGUGAAAUUGUUGAAAGGGAAGCGCUUGCAGCCAGACUUGCCUGUAGUUGCUUAUCCGGACUUUUGUCCGGUGCACUCUUCUGCGGGCAGGCCAGCAUCAGUUUGGGCAGUUGGAUAAAGGUCUCUGUCAUGUACCUCUCUUCGGGGAGGCCUUAUAGGGGAGACGACAUGCAACUAGCCUGGACUGAGGUCCGCGCAUCUGCUAGGAUGCUGGCGUAAUGGCUGUAAGCGGCCCGUCUUGAAACACGGACCAAGGAGUCUAACAUCUAUGCGAGUGUUUGGGUGUCAAGCCCAGACGCGUAAUGAAAGUGAACGGAGGUGGGAACCCUUUGGGUGCACCAUCGACCGAUCCUGAUGUCUUCGGAAGGAUUUGAGUAAGAGCAUGGCUGUUGGGACCCGAAAGAUGGUGAACUAUGCUUGAAUAGGGUGAAGCCAGAGGAAACUCUGGUGGAGGCUCGCAGCGGUUCUGACGUGCAAAUCGAUCGUCAAAUUUGGGCAUAGGGGCGAAAGACUAAUCGAAC
Molecule: ribosomal RNA, 853 nt
Filed under: Paraloratospora gahniae
Lineage: Eukaryota; Fungi; Ascomycota; Dothideomycetes; Pleosporales; Phaeosphaeriaceae
Description: eukaryotic LSU rRNA
Rfam family: Eukaryotic large subunit ribosomal RNA
Source: RNAcentral